AGUGAACGCUGGCGGUAGGCCUAACACAUGCAAGUCGAACGGCAGCACAGUAAGAGCUUGCUCUUACGGGUGGCGAGUGGCGGACGGGUGAGGAAUACAUCGGAAUCUACUUUUUCGUGGGGGAUAACGUAGGGAAACUUACGCUAAUACCGCAUACGACCUACGGGUGAAAGCAGGGGAUCUUCGGACCUUGCGCGAUUGAAUGAGCCGAUGUCGGAUUAGCUAGGUGGCGGGGUAAAGGCCCACCAAGGCGACGAUCCGUAGCUGGUCUGAGAGGAUGAUCAGCCACACUGGAACUGAGACACGGUCCAGACUCCUACGGGAGGCAGCAGUGGGGAAUAUUGGACAAUGGGCGCAAGCCUUAUCCAGCCAUACCGCGUGGGUGAAGAAGGCCUUCGGGUUGUAAAGCCCUUUUGUUGGGAAAGAAAAGCAGCAGGUUAAUACCCCGCUGUUCUGACGGUACCCAAAGAAUAAGCACCGGCUAACUUCGUG
This 492-nucleotide ribosomal RNA is filed under the name uncultured bacterium. RNAcentral's name for it is "partial 16S ribosomal RNA". It matches the Rfam family "Bacterial small subunit ribosomal RNA", at positions 29 to 507 of the family's 1533-position model. The record is from RNAcentral.